Molecule: ribosomal RNA, 334 nt
Filed under: Staphylococcus aureus
Lineage: Bacteria; Bacillati; Bacillota; Bacilli; Caryophanales; Staphylococcaceae
Description: bacterial SSU rRNA
Rfam family: Bacterial small subunit ribosomal RNA
Source: RNAcentral
GACAACUCUAGAGAUAGAGCCUUCCCCUUCGGGGGACAAAGUGACAGGUGGUGCAUGGUUGUCGUCAGCUCGUGUCGUGAGAUGUUGGGUUAAGUCCCGCAACGAGCGCAACCCUUAAGCUUAGUUGCCAUCAUUAAGUUGGGCACUCUAAGUUGACUGCCGGUGACAAACCGGAGGAAGGUGGGGAUGACGUCAAAUCAUCAUGCCCCUUAUGAUUUGGGCUACACACGUGCUACAAUGGACAAUACAAAGGGCAGCGAAACCGCGAGGUCAAGCAAAUCCCAUAAAGUUGUUCUCAGUUCGGAUUGUAGUCUGCAACUCGACUACAUGAAGC